UCCCUGGUGGUCCAGUGGAUAGGACUCUGCAUUCUCACUGCUGAGGGCCCAGGUUCGAUCCCUGAUCAGGGAG
Molecule: non-coding RNA, 73 nt
Organism: Odocoileus virginianus texanus
Lineage: Eukaryota; Metazoa; Chordata; Mammalia; Artiodactyla; Cervidae
Source: the annotation of a RefSeq genome assembly